GAUGAACGCUGGCGGCGUGCUUAACACAUGCAAGUCGAACGAUGAAGCCCAGCUUGCUGGGUGGAUUAGUGGCGAACGGGUGAGUAACACGUGAGUAACCUGCCCUUGACUCUGGGAUAAGCCCGGGAAACUGGGUCUAAUACCGGAUAGGAGCGCCUGUCGCAUGACGGGUGUUGGAAAGAUUUUUCGGUCAUGGAUGGACUCGCGGCCUAUCAGCUUGUUGGUGAGGUAAUGGCUCACCAAGGCGACGACGGGUAGCCGGCCUGAGAGGGUGACCGGCCACACUGGGACUGAGACACGGCCCAGACUCCUACGGGAGGCAGCAGUGGGGAAUAGUGCACAAUGGGCGGAAGCCUGAUGCAGCGACGCCGCGUGGGGGAUGACGGCCUUCGGGUUGUAAACCUCUUUCAGUAGGGAAGAAGCGAAAGUGACGGUACCUGCAGAAGAAGCACCGGCUAACUACGUG
Molecule: ribosomal RNA, 466 nt
Filed under: uncultured bacterium
Lineage: Bacteria
Description: partial 16S ribosomal RNA
Rfam family: Bacterial small subunit ribosomal RNA
Source: RNAcentral